GCCUGGGUGGCUCAGUUGGUUGGGCAUCUGACUUCAGCUCAGGUCAUGAUCUCAGAGCUUGUGAGUUCAAGCCCCACAUCAGGCU
Molecule: transfer RNA, 85 nt
Filed under: Felis catus (domestic cat)
Lineage: Eukaryota; Metazoa; Chordata; Mammalia; Carnivora; Felidae
Rfam family: tRNA
About the family: Transfer RNA (tRNA) molecules are approximately 80 nucleotides in length.
Source: Rfam by way of RNAcentral